AUUGAACGCUGGCGGCAUGCCUUACACAUGCAAGUCGAACGGCAGCGGGGGAGAAGCUUGCUUUUCCUGCCGGCGAGUGGCGAACGGGUGAGUAAUACAUCGGAACGUGCCCUGUAGUGGGGGAUAACUAGUCGAAAGAUUAGCUAAUACCGCAUACGACCUGAGGGUGAAAGUGGGGGACCGCAAGGCCUCAUGCUAUAGGAGCGGCCGAUGUCUGAUUAGCUAGUUGGUGGGGUAAAGGCCUACCAAGGCGACGAUCAGUAGCUGGUCUGAGAGGACGAUCAGCCACACUGGGACUGAGAGUCGGCCCAGACUCCUACGGGAGGCAGCAGUGGGGAAUUUUGGACAAUGGGCGAAAGCCUGAUCCAGCAAUGCCGCGUGUGUGAAGAAGGCCUUCGGGUUGUAAAGCACUUUUGUCCGGAAAGAAAUGGCUCUGGUUAAUACCUGGGGUCGAUGACGGUACCGGAAGAAUAAGGACCGGCUAACUACGUGCCAGCCGCCGCGGUAA
Molecule: ribosomal RNA, 508 nt
Filed under: uncultured bacterium
Lineage: Bacteria
Description: partial 16S ribosomal RNA
Rfam family: Bacterial small subunit ribosomal RNA
Source: RNAcentral